Molecule: long non-coding RNA, 1519 nt
Organism: Teleopsis dalmanni
Lineage: Eukaryota; Metazoa; Arthropoda; Insecta; Diptera; Diopsidae
Exons: 4
Source: RefSeq, a predicted model, not a curated record
UCAAAGCACAUUGUAAGUUUAAUUUUUUCUUAGUCGUGAUUAGUGAUAAAAAUCAAAAAUAAAAAAAGUUGACAGAAAGUGUAUUAAAAGUGCAUUAUGUGUUGCAACAAAAGUAUAUAUACGUAGAUAAGUAUAUAUAUAUAUACCUAAAUAAAACCAGGAGAUGUGGUCUGAUGCAGAGCUUAUGCCAUGUUCACAUAAGGCAAACAACAAAAAAACUGGUCGUAUAAACAGGCGCUGCGCGAAGUGAUCUUGGACCGCGUGGGACGUCGCCGAUACCAUCUUCAUUACAUUUUUAAACUCUUGUAACAAAAACUAAAUCUCUUCGUAGGCCUACAUAACAAUUGUUAUAUUUAUUAUUAUUACUAAAAAUUACUACAAAUUCGUAAUUCUUUUCAAAAAUCUAUCCUCAUACAAUCUUAUACCAUCAUUGUUAAUAUAAUUCAAAUAUACUAAUAUAACUGUAUUAUAUAUUAAAUUAUAUCUAUAUCUAAUAAAUACCAAACAACCAUUACAAAGCCUUUACAUCAGAAAUGGACAACUACUAUACCGAUGAGGAACUACAAAUCGCAUAUCAAUCAGCCACAAAUCCACACCAACCAUGCUUUAACCAACACUACAACACAUCACUGUCAUACCACACAUAUAUUAUCCCCAAGUACUAUCUCAUCCCAUAUACCAUAACAUGGGCAUAAUCUUCAUCCAUUUGCUUCAUCACCAAUAUUAAAUAUAACAAAUAUUGCCUCAAAUAUACCAAAAACCAUCAACAACAGAUCCAACAGUCCAUCUAAUACAAAUCCGACUACUACCACCACUACUAUAUUCACCACAGCACCAAUCACAGUAUCAUCCUUCAACAACUCAACACCACCUGUUCCAUCACAAUUAUUACAACCUAUAACUACAUCAAACGUAUCCGUGAACACAUCUGUUGUUGGAAACACCAAAAACACCAUUAUAAACCUAUCUACCUAUAUAUCGACUGUAGAAACAACUAUUGUACAAAAUACAUCUACAGGAUUAUUUACAUAUCUACAUACCUACCUAAUAUAGCUGUCAAUUCGAAUAUUUUAAAUAUUAAUAAUCCUGUAUCUUCAAAUAUCAAAUCUAAGAAUCAAGAAAUCCACAAAGAUUGUCAAAUCAACAUGUAACACCGCUAAAUUUCACAAUCCCUAACCAUCAUCCUCCUUUAUUAUCCUCUCUAUCUCCAAGACCUUCAUUACAGCCCUUCAUGGCUACCUUCAAAACGUCCUUGAAGCCACAGUUAUUCUCAUCCAUCCCAGAUGAAAACCUACUCACAACUUUAUAUCCACGUGCAAUCUCUCUUGGUUUCAAAAAUCUCGCAACUUUAACUGUACCUAUAGUAGCACAUAGUGUUGCUAUGAACAAUUACUAUGAUACAUACAUAGAAUCUCAUGAUCUCAUUGUAGAUCAGAAAUAGACGAGCACUAAAAAAAUUUCUACAGGUAAUGGAAAACCAUAGAACUCAAUCUCCCUUUCACCAAAUGUUGCUCCAUCU